Molecule: long non-coding RNA, 221 nt
Filed under: Phascolarctos cinereus (koala)
Lineage: Eukaryota; Metazoa; Chordata; Mammalia; Diprotodontia; Phascolarctidae
Description: lncRNA (ENSPCIG00000036867.1)
Source: RNAcentral
UUCUUCCCCUGCUGUGCCAUGGAGAAAGAUUACUUUAGCUAGCUAAAGUUGGAGGCAACAAGGUAUCUUCAGCCCUGGGCUAAUGACAUCAGGAGAAAGGACUACUCAGCUCCUUUUAGAGCCAUUUACUACAUUUUUUUUUUUUUCCUAGAAUAAUGGAGGAGGCACUCAGGGAGUGAAGUGUGAAUUUACCUGGUGAAUUUGCCAGAUUGCAUUACAAG